AGAGUUUGAUCCUGNCUCAGAAUCAACGCUGGCGGCGUGCCUAACACAUGCAAGUCGAGCGAGAAAAGGGGAGCAAUCCUCUGAGUACAGCGGCGCACGGGUGAGUAACACGUGGGUAAUCUGCCCUGGAGUGGGGAAUAACACCGGGAAACCGGUGCUAAUACCGCAUACGAUCACGAUGUCUGCGGAUGUCGUGAUGAAAGGAGCAAUUCGCUCCAGGAGGAGCCCGCGGCUGAUUAGCUAGUUGGUGAGGUAAUGGCUCACCAAGGCUACGAUCAGUAUCCGGUCUGAGAGGACGGUCGGACACACUGGAACUGAGACACGGUCCAGACUCCUACGGGAGGCAGCAGUGGGGAAUUUUUGGCAAUGGGGGCAACCCUGACCAAGCAACGCCGCGUGGGUGAUGAAGUCUCUUGGGACGUAAAACCCUUUCGACGGGGACGAAACCGCAAGGUUGACGGUACCCGUAGAAGAAGCCCCGGCUAACUCCGUGCCAGCAGCCGCGGUAAUACGGGGGGGGCAAGCGUUGUUCGGAAUUACUGGGCGUAAAGGGUGCGUAGGCGGCGCGCUAAGUCGGAUGUGAAAACUCUGGGCUCAACCCAGAGCCUGCAUCCGAAACUGGCGUGCUAGAGUUCUGGAGGGGGUAGCGGAAUUCCUGGUGUAGCGGUGAAAUGCGUAGAUAUCAGGAGGAACACCGGUGGCGAAGGCGGCUACCUGGACAGAAACUGACGCUGAGGCACGAAAGCUAGGGGAGCAAACAGGAUUAGAUACCCUGGUAGUCCUAGCCCUAAACGAUGGAUACUUGGUGCGACCGGG
This 816-nucleotide ribosomal RNA is filed under the name uncultured bacterium. RNAcentral describes it as "bacterial SSU rRNA". It matches the Rfam family "Bacterial small subunit ribosomal RNA", at positions 8 to 830 of the family's 1533-position model. The record is from RNAcentral.